GAUGAACGCUGACAGAAUGCUUAACACAUGCAAGUCUACUUGAACUUCGGUUUGGGUGGCGGACGGGUGAGUAACGCGUACAGAACUUGCCUCACAGAUAGGGACAACAUUUGGAAACGAAUGCUAAUACCUGAUAUUAUGAUUUUAGGGCAUCCUAGAAUUAUGAAAGCUAUAUGCACUGUGAGAGAGCUUUGCGUCCCAUUAGCUAGUUGGAGAGGUAACGGCUCACCAAGGCGAUGAUGGGUAGCCGGCCUGAGAGGGUGAUCGGCCACAAGGGGACUGAGACACGGCCCUUACUCCUACGGGAGGCAGCAGUGGGGAAUAUUGGACAAUGGACCAAGAGUCUGAUCCAGCAAUUCUGUGUGCACGAUGAAGUUUUUCGGAAUGUAAAGUGCUUUCAGUUGGGAAGAAAAAAAUGACGGUACCAACAGAAGAAGUGACGGCUAAAUACGUG
RNAcentral lists this ribosomal RNA (454 nucleotides) under uncultured bacterium. RNAcentral describes it as "partial 16S ribosomal RNA". It matches the Rfam family "Bacterial small subunit ribosomal RNA", at positions 28 to 507 of the family's 1533-position model. The record is from RNAcentral.